RNAcentral lists this long non-coding RNA (15624 nucleotides) under Lotus japonicus. RNAcentral's name for it is "long non-coding RNA (LJAP_LNC001404)". Lineage: Eukaryota; Viridiplantae; Streptophyta; Magnoliopsida; Fabales; Fabaceae. The record is from RNAcentral.
GGAGAUAGCUGCGAGUUCAAGGUCACCUAGGUGGCCUGCAAAGGCUUGGGUGAUCACUAACAUGGAAUACGAUGCUAUACGGCUAAAGAUUGCAGGGCCUGCUAUGUGCCAUAGCUUCUUGGAUUCAACCCAAAUCUUUCUUUUGAGGUCUUGUUCUUGUUCUGCUGCAUCUGGUAAAGGGUGAACUUCCAACAAAGGAGCUUUUAUUUCUCCUAAUGGUGAAACCUCCUUGCUAGGCAUCUUUGAGUAGCCUAGCUAUGCCAGUUGUGGCUAGAGUUUAUUUGGGUUCAAAAACUCAACAGAGAAGAAGGGAAGGAACAGAAUAAAACAAGGAAGAGAGGUAAUGCCGUGAUGAUAAUAUGUGCAACGUUGGAGGUUUUUAUACGGAUUUGGUUUGUCUGCAUCUGAUAUUUAAAACUGACACUUGCGUAUUUUUUUUGGUGUUGAUUGACACUUUAUAUUUAACAUCAUUUUUUAUAAAUAUUUCAAAUUGAUAGCAGUUACAAUAAUGGUAUCUCACACUUAUGUACACUUACACCAAGAGUAAGAACUAGGAAGGAGAGAAAAGAGAGUGAAAUGUGAGAUAUAAUCUGUGAUGUGAUGUAAAAAUAAAAAAUGAUAGGAAGAAAUAAGUGAAACUGUCGAAUUGAUAUAAAAGAAAAAGUAAGUGUGUAUGUAUCAAAGUUGUAUAGUAUAAAGCAAUGACGAACAUGAACAAGUCAUGUAUUUCUAAGAGCAUCUUUAACUAUGAUAUUCACUAAAAUAUUUACAUUUUACUUUUUACAACUCCCAAUAAUGUCACAUCAUCUACAUCAUUUUAUUAAUUUUUACUCCAACCCAACAACUCUUAAAAGUUUAUAUAAAAAAUUAUUUUAUUAAUUACAAGUUUUAUUUAAACCUUUUACAUUAAGCAAUAAUAAAUGUAAAUACACUUUUCAUGACUAAAUUGAGUAUCUACUCUCACAUACCCUCACUAGUCAUGUUAGAAUUAAAAUAUACUCCAAUGGUAAUAGAUAUUGAUGGUAGUAUGUAUUUGACAUUACAUACUCCCAUUAAAGAUGCUCAAAGAAUCAAUAAAUCACGAAAUUCAAGUGGGUCAUAACAUUAGGAAAGAAAGAACAGUAAUGUUUACUACUUGUCCUGUUUUGAUGAGAAUGUUUUGAUGAGAAUCUGGUUGAGAAUUUAUGGCUGGUGGGCAGGGACCGAUGUAUGUUGUGCAUCAUGGGGUCAAAUGCCCCCACUGAAUUUUCAUAAAAUGCACUAGUAAUACUAUAGAUUUAUGAUAAUAAGAGUUAUAUUACCCUCACUAAAAUACAAAUGCCCCCACAUACUUGUACAUUUUUAUAAGUGCCCCCACCCACGGUUCAUUUGACUUACCAUGUUUUUGACUUAGUAAAUUACUCCCUCCGUUCCUAUUUAACUGUCAACUUUGGGUGAGGACACACAUAUUAAGGGUGUAAUUAAUUUUCUUGAUUUUUAGAAAAAAGUGAGGAUUAUUUUCCUAAUUUACCCUUUAAAAUGUGUGUUAUCUCUCCUGUUUAUUAUUCUGUUAAUGACAUUAUAUGUAAAAACAUCAUUUAAUGCUCUCUUGAAAUGUUAAGUUGACAGAUAAAUAUGAAUAAAUUUUUUUUUUCGAGGUGAACAGUUAAAUAGGAACGGGGGAGUAAUUAGUCACCAUGAAUAACUCUAUGGACUGAGACUCAUUAUUCAUAACUGAUUUAUAAUUAUUAUAUAUAAUUCAAUCAAGUUCAAAUGUAUGUAUAUAAAGGAUAAUUAUAUCUUCACACCUCACUUUUGAGGUGUGGAGAGGUGGAAGAAGAGAGAGAUAAGAAGAAAUGAGAGAGAAAGUAAAGAAGUGAUAUGUGAUUUGAUUGAUAAAGAAGAGAGAAAUAAAUAGAAUGGAGGUGGAAAAGAAGUGGAGAGGUGUGUAUAUAUCAUAACUCGUAUAUAAAAUUUCAUUCACAUGCAUAUUUAUUGUUAAAAAAUGUGAAUAGUUUGAUUCUGCUAUACUCACAUUUCAUUACUAUUUGUUACUUCAUUUAUUUCUUGUUUCCUCUUCGUCUAUAUUAAUAAUGUUAUUCUUUUAUUAAUUUCUCUUUGUUCAACCAUUUUUAUUAAGAAAAAAGUGUUUUGCUAAAAAACUAUAUUAUUCUUGUCAUGUAGCGUUCAGACUAUAAAUAAAGAGAGUAGUACUCACAUGAAUCUUCAAGAGACUCAUUUUGGUAUUGCAUUCUCUAGUCGUAUUUACAAAUUUUUAUGUUUUGACAAAAAAAAAUUGCCCCACAACAUUAAAUCUCUAAAUCCGUCCUGCUGGUGGUGGGGGUGCAGCGUUGUAUUGCCAAACAGUAUUGUGACCCAUUUUUUAGUUUCAUUACUAUUUGUUACUUCAUUUAUUUAUUGUUUCCUCUCCGUCUAUAUUAAUAAUGUUAUUCUUUUAUUAAUUUCUCUUUGUUCAACCAUUUUUAUUAAGAAAAAAGUGUUUUGCUAAAAAACUAUAUUAUUCUUGUCAUGUAGCGUUCAGACUACAAAUAAAGAGAGUAGUACUCACAUGAAUCUUCAAGAGACUCAUUUUGGUAUUGCAUUCUCUAGUCGUAUUUACAAAUUUUUAUGUUUUGACAAAGGCUUAAUACAUCAGAAGGCCCCUGUAAUUGUAAAGGGAAUCAAAUCCAGGACCUAGAAAAUUUUUGCAUCAAAUUGGGUCCCUAGAAUUUUUUUUUUAAUUCAAUUAAGGCCAAAGUGUGCCAGCUUUCAAUUUUAUCCCAGUCAUCAAUUCCACGUGGCUUUUAUUAUUAUUUUUUAAUUAAAAAAAUAAUAAUAAAUUAUUUUUAAUUCCAACUCAAUUAAAUAAUUAGAAAAAAAAUUUAAAAACUUAAUAAAUAACCUAAUCUAAUCUAAUAAUCCCUAUAACCAAUCCCUAAUUUAAACAUUUUCACCCCCAAAUUGAACCCCCAAGGCUAUUGAAUUUCAGAACCCCCAAACUACCUCCAAUCUGACUAACUAAACUCCCUAGCUUUUCCACGCAUACAGCAAAAUUCCUUGAGUUGCCUUCAAUACAAUCAACAAGAUUUCCAGCACCAAUUAAUAGUAGAAAAGAUGCCCACCUUUCCACUGAGAACUAGAAACACGCAUAGAACAUGCAGAUGAAAGCUUCAUAGGCUGGCCAAGCAUACUCUUGGAUUGGAAAUCCAUUCGUAUACUGUGAAGGAAAACUUCUUUUUUUUUUGCCCACUAAACCCACAAUCAAACCAAAAUCAAAUAUACUCUUGGAUUGGAGAACCACUAAACCCAGAAUCAAACCAUGAAACCCAGAAUCAAACCACCAAACCCAUAAUCAAACCAGCAGAAUUUUCAUAAAACCCCAUCUGCAAAACCCACCAAACCCAGAAUCAAACCAAUGAGACAUAACCAUGUAAACCCAAAAUCAAAAAUUGGGGGGAAAUUGAGAAACAAGUUAUGAAGAAGAAAUUGAAAUGGAAUCUGACCUUGAUAGGAGGAGAGGCCAUUGAGGUCGAGCAGAGGCCAGCGGUAGUGGUGGAGAUCGGAGUAGGGGGCAUUGAGGUCGAGCAGAGGCCAGCGGUAAUGGUGGAGAUCAGGGGAGGGGGCGUUGAGGUCGAGCAGAGGCCAGCGAUGGUGGUGGAGAUCGGAGGAGGGGGCGUUAAGGUCGAGGCAAAGGCCACGGAGGGAGGGAGCGACGCCAUCGUAGGCAAGGGCGGCUUCAUGGUCUUCUUCCUUCUCUUCUUCCUUUUCUUCUUCCCUCUUCCUUCUUCAUCGAUAAUUCCAGAGAAGAUUAGGUUAGGAUUUUAUUUUUUUAAAGAUAGGUUAGUUUUUUAUAAUUGAAAUGAGUUGGAAUAAAAAAUAAUUAAAGAUUUUAAAAAAUUAAAACAUGUGGCAUAAGUUGUCAUUUAAAAAAAUUAUAAAAGCCACGUGGAUAAUGUGACGGACUAAAAAUCGAGCCACAUCAGCGGUUGACACACUUUGUCCUUAAUUGAAUUAAAAAAAAAAUUCUUAAGGACCCAAUUUGAUGCGAAAAUUUUACAGGCCCUGGAAUUGGUUCCCUUUACAAUUUCAGGGGCCUUCUGAUGUAUUAAGCCUUUGACAAAAAUAAAAUUGGCCCACAACAUUAAAUCUCUAAAUCCGUCCUGCUGGUGGUGGGGGUGCAGCGUUGUAUUGCCAAACAGUAUUGUGACCCAUUUUUUACAGCAUGAUUUGGCAUUGGCUCUUAUUUGGAUUGCAGUGGUGGGAGCAAUUUGGUCCCUACGUAAUAAUGUAAUUUUUAAGGGUGAUGAGGUGGAAAUAGUAAAGGUAGUGAACUUUAUACAAUACAAAGUUUGGCUGUGGAUUAAGGCUAGUAACCAUUAUUUCUCUUCAUCAUUAUUUGAGUGGGUCACGAAUCCAAGAGCUUGCAUUAGCAGCAUCUGUAGCUGAGACGUGCUUGGCUUUGGAAGAGGAUGUGUGGAAUCCUAUUGAGCUGUUUCCUUUUUCCUGAGUUAGCUGAUAUGGCUUUCUGUAAGUUUGCGGCUGCAGGGACAUUUUGUGUGCUGGUUAAUUGGGUCUCAAGUUGGAGUUUAUUGCUGCUGAAUUCUUGUAGGAAUUGGUGGGUCCGUUGGCAUGAUUGGAAUAGUGGGCAGGGGAAUAUAAUGGCUCUUGGUGGCUUUGUUUGAGCUUUGUAAAUUUUGUACUCUUUCUUUCACUAGACUUUUUCUAAGGAGGUUUUCCUAGUAAGGUUUUAAUGAGACAUUAUUUAUAGAGUCUAGCUUCCAAGGAGCAACUUUUGGGGGGCUCUUUUUCUUUUUAGCUUAUGUUAUCUUGUAUUGUAAUAUUGUAAUUGUUUUAUUAUUUGUCUUUCUUUCUCUUUGGAUUGGGUUGAAGUACCUGAUAAGUGCAAUUUUUACGUGUUUUUCAUUAUCAUUAUAGGCACUUAUUUGACCAGUAUGCUUGCAUUGUUGAUCAUUUUAUCCCCAAAGUAGCUUGCUUAGAAAAUAUUUAGUUUUAGCAUAAAAAUAAUGUAAAUAUUAUGCUUUUAAUAUUUAAUGUCUUAAUUUUGAUGUAAGAGUAAGAUGAUCACUUUGAAUCUUGAGCAAGAAAAUAAAGUGAGGAAAGUUGGCUCAAAUUUAGCUUGAGCGGACUGGAAACAGAGCUGAAGCCACCACUUUACACUAGAUUUUCAGCAUAGUUCGCUUGAGCCAACUUGAGUUAGCUUGAGCGGACUGAAGGCGGUCUUAACUACUUCAGCAUGAAGAAAGGUUCGCUCGAGUCAACUUAGCUUGGCUUGAGCCAACUAAGGUCGGCCAGAAACUCUAUAAAAGGCUAGACCACGAAAUUUUCAGUAUCUCUUCCAUUCUUCACCAUUUUUCCUCCCUAAAACAUUCAGAGGAGGCUGGGUUUCAUGGGGGAAGGGUCCUGGGUCUAGGAUUGACAGAUUGAAGCUCCGGAGCGUGGCGGCAACCGCCGAAGGACCGUGACAACCUCUUGGAGGCAAUGGAAAGCUUGGGAAAGCUUCUAUCGUCGUGGGUGCUUCGCCGUUCUUCUGGGUUUCAUCUCUUCUUCCUUAUCCCUUGUACUUUUUGUUUCUAUUUUUGUAUUUAGGAUGUUAUAACUUGAUGCUUUGAUUGUUGUAAGCUCUUCUCAUGAAUGUAAAUGAUAAUAUUUCAUGUAUGGUGUUUCUUUCUAUGUUUCAUGCUUCUAACCAAUCAAUUGAUAGUCAAAUGAGCUUCACUAAUUUGUAAAUAGAUCGAGAGGUUGAUAUGAGUUGGUGAAUGCUUAGAUAAAUGAAAGUAGAGCGCCUAUGUCUUAGGUCACAACACUGUGUUAAAGUUUUACUUUUUUCGCUUCAAGUAUCGAUUGAUUUGCGUUAGAUUUUCAAGGACUAGCAUGAGAUCGGGAGAUAAUUGCGGGUCCGGUUUAAGAGAGAAACCACUCAAUGAACUAGUUGUCUUAAGGUUAGAAUAUCUUGGGUAGGAACAAUAGUGGACUUCCACGUGACAUGUGUGGUUCUGAGUUCUAACAGGAGUUUCCAGAGUAACAACGGAGAUUCGCAAACCUAGGGUACCUUGUCUUAGGAUGAAUCGGUCAUUGGAAAUGUCUUUGAGAGAGAAUUUGAGCUUUAGUGUUCUUUUUGGGUUUUCUAGAUGGUAAGAGAUUACGUCUAGGAAUUCCGACUGAUAGAUUCACCUAGACUAGGGAUAGUUAGGUGGAUAACUCUCGGCAUCAUAAGUGAAAUGUACCUUUACAGAAGUGAUUGAGUGGAAACAAUUAGAGGAUUAGGUUAAAAUGCAAUCUGAAUAUGUGUUCUUCUUUGUUACCUCUGUACACUUUCUUUUACUGCUUUCAUUUAUAUUCAAAAACAACAAAAACAAUUUUAUCAAACAUAUUUUCAUCUGCUCAAAUCAAUAUUUAGCUCGUGGAACCAAUGUUCACACAAUCCCUGAGGACGAUAAACUCGUAUCUGCUUUGCUAUGAUUGAAUCAUAAGGGUUUAGUUUCAAAGCAGUACUAACAAGGAAAAAACCGUUAUCAAAUUUUGCCCUUGUACUUCACUUUAAUAAAGUAAUUGGCUUAUAAAAAAAAGUAAUGUUUCUUGUACAUACCUUCUGGGUGACAUAUCCAAUAUAUGUAAGUGGGGGUUUCUAACUGCCACAAUCUGCAAAGUAUUUAAAAUAAUUAUUGGUGGUUAUGGAAGGCUAUAGCCACAAAAUUUAUUGGCAAAAGUAUCUUCGCCGCUAGUCGGUAAAAGUAUUUAUCACCAAAUUAACCAGUGCAUAAUCUCCCCACUUAAAAUGAGCCGAAAAGCGUCAAUUGUUUUCCAAGAGUAACGAGAUCUCUGCAAAGGUCAACGGGUUGGAAUGUCGAUAGAACUUAUCAAAUUGAGUGGUCAAAGAAAAAGGCAGGGCCUCACUGAAACCGAGUUGAUAACUGACAUAGUUUGGCCGAUAAUUCACUACAUUGAGAUCCUUAAAUCUCGGCAAUCUAGUCAAAAGUUGUUGAGGGCACAAUACGACAACUCAUUUUUCAACAUCGAAAUCGUCGAAAUCUUUUCUUUCAAGAACCAAGAAGGGCGGCUGAUCGAAAAGGUCAACAAUGUUUGUCUGGGCGGAUAGGUUCCAAAAGAUGUUGAAAUAAAAGUGAAAGGCUUCAUUAGAUUGGCCUUAGGGGUGUCAACGGGUCGAGCCGAAAGGCAGCUAUUUUCGGUUACCAAGGAACAGACUCAAGAUCGAAGCGACCACUUAGGAUGGUCGUUAGCCAAAGCUGAAGGAGCCAAAUAGGCCCCACUAGAUUUCUAACCCGAAUGUUGUAUCAGAUGCCUUGUACAAUAUCCUUAAUGGCAGAAUAUAGAGAAGCAAGAAGGAAUUGGCCCAAAGCAAGUUUCUUGCACACGCAAGUUUGACGUAGGCCUUGCUAACCCCCGAAAACAUAGGGCAAAUUACAUGGGCAAACAACCAGUAAGUUAAAAAUCUGUGUUUUGUGUCGGUAACGGUGUCAGUGACCUUGGAAUAUAUGGUGACAAAGGGACCGCAAGAGGUAACAGUCGUUGAUUUGAGAGUGCACGUCGGUUCAGUUAACAACGUUAUAAUUUCACCGAAUGGCGGAAGGCCUGUAAUGGUCAACACUUCAAAAAGUGUCGGCCCCAUUAUGCCGAUGGGAAAUGGAAGGUGCUUGUCGAUUCACUCCAAAAAAAUAUUGAAGCUCCUAUUAGAGCUGGAUUGGAGUGAACUUUUUUCCGGCUUAACUAGAUCAGAUCAAAUGUGCCAAUCUCUUUCCAAGGCAAUCCCUUGGCCGCUCAGACUCGCUUCAACAACAAGAGAUAGGUGGAGGUUGGUUUCAGUGGGAAAGCCCUAAAAAGACAGGUUGCACUGUAGAAAUAACAUUUGGGGAUCGAAAGUUUGGAGAAAAGGGACUUAGGACUUAAGUUCUUUGAAUUUCAACUAUAAAUAGGACUUAGGAAGACUUAGAAAGGGUUGAACAUCUAAACUAACGCCUCAGUUCCUACUGGAUUCAAGAGUGGUUGAGUUUCCAGUAAACUCCAGCCACUUUAUUCCAAUCUUGUUGCUAUUUUCAAAUUUGCAAUUUCAAUUCAAGUUCUUUACUACUUGCACCUUCUUCAAAUUACUCUAAUUGCUUGAUCAUUGCUAAAGAGUAAAGACACAAUCUUGCAUGCUUAAAUCUUUCGCUUUCAACAUAUUAUUGUUCCUUAAUUUCGCUGUGUUGUUGAUAUUUGUUAAUAUGAAUUACAUGUUCAUUGUCUAGAUUUCCAGCAUCCUUCGGCAUUUCCAAGUUCAGCAUUCUGUUGUGUUUAUUUUCUGCAUAAGUGUUCUAAAAUAAUCACUUUUAUUCAUUUAAUUGGCAUUCAUGUAGUGUUUUGUUUCCCAACUUGGUGGAUUUAUUUUCAUCGCAUUAUAGUUUAAGUUCAGUUACUGUUUUACUUUUGAAAAAGUAACCAUGAGUUUCAGCAUGCUUACUAUAUUUUUCUACAUUCAUAGUUGAACUAGGUAGUCUGCAUCUCUUUUCCAGUUUUUCAGAGCAUUCUCUGAACUUGAGCACUUCUUAACCGCUUGUCAUUAUUUACCUCCAGUAUUUGGCUGUAUUUUACGCUUUUGGUUAGUCUUCGCUUGCCAAGACAGGGUACAAUCUCGGCCACCAGGCCAUCAUUUUCUUUACCAACUGCUGGCACGCAAGAUCAACCAGUGUUUCUGGCCGAUACCGAAACAAAGGCGCAAUAUCACCGAAAAUUCCUCUUAACCGAGGUACUACACGUAACGUUCAUCAGCAUCGAGAAGCAAGGCUCGGUUUAAUCACAUUGGGCAGAUGGAGCUCGACCUUCGUAGUAUAAACCCGACUCCGUGUUAUUUCCAACAGGAAACAUGUCUGAAACUCUAACCUAUACUAUGAGGAAUACGCAACAGUUAUUUUUUUAGCCUAGUGCAAUAGUGUUACCCAUUUUUUAUUUCAAGUUAUAAGUGUUGCAUAGAAGUCCUACGACAACAGUUCUAAACUAACACAAUUAUACAUAGGCAACAUACUAAAUGUUGCUAAUUAUCAGCUACAACUUUACAUUGUUGCAUAAAAUUAACUCCACAUACAACAAUUUAUAAUAAUAUUGAGAGAGAGAGAGAGAGAGAGAGAGAUACCAGAACAAUAGACAUGUGUAGGAGAGCAGCUGUGGUCCAACAACAAUGGAAGCAGCUUCACUGACAACUCGACCAGUAAGCCAAGGAAUCUCACAGCCAUAGAAAAAAGCUGCUAUGCAAUUCCCACAUGCUAUGAUCUUUAGUUCCAAACUUGAAAUCUAUGUACAAGCAUGUCAUUUAGCAUUUCAGAGUCCACAUGCUAGCUGAAAAGGGCAACAAUUAGUACAAAUACUCUACAGAGACCAACAUUACAUGUGAGGGAUGUGGCUCACCUCUUUGGGAAAACAAUCAGCAUUAUUGUACCUAGUUUGGAAGAAGGUUCAUCACGUGUUUUUCUUUUGCAGCUUCCUCCUUAAUGACUGGAAAAGUACAUAGCUGAAUUAAAUGACUCAUAAUUUGGAUACCAAUUAAGCAUGCUAGCUUUCUACAAAAAUGGUAAAGAGAACUCAUAAGAAUUUUGGCACUUUAACAUAUUCAUUCCUGAGAAAAUUGAUCAAAGUAACAGUUCUCACUCCUCAAAGAGAAUCGUUAGUCACUGAAAAAACCUAAAAUCAUACCAAUUGAAUUGAAUCACUGAUAAAACCUAAAAUCGAACAAUCUAUUGAAUCAAUAAUGAAUUAAUUACCUCCAUAUUUUAGUUGAAUUGCAGAUUUUGAACGCAACGGUUAUGAAUUGUUGUCACUUUGCUUAGAUUUCCAUUAGGUAAAACUGAAAACACAUUCAAUGAAUUGGAAAUAGAAAUCAUGAUCAUGGGAAAGAAGAAUAGCCAGGCUGAUAGCUUCAGGGGUAUGGUCCAGUGGAAGAAGUUGGUGCAGAGUUGAACGUGCUACCAGUAGAGUUGUCGAGACCUUAUGAUGUGUACAUAGUGACUUACUGAUGGAGAAGCGAUUAAACAUGGAGUAUGAUUGCUCAUAUUUUGUAGUCUUCUCUUAUAUUGCUUCUCAAAUCAUUGUGUGAAGGUCUUCUUUAGGUUGGAGUGGGUGUGCUUUGGGUAGUUUGGCUGUUGAGGUUUUUGUGGAGUGGUGGUGUGUGCUUUGGGGUUUGUCUAAUUGUUGUGAGGGCUUCUUUUCAUCUAUGGUGCGCUCAAACUUUGAGCUUAUUUUCGUUGGGUUGGGUUAUUUUCGUAUCAUUGGCUUAAUUGUAACUUUGACCCUUGACGUUUGCCAGAAAAGUAAUUUUGACCUCUCACCUAAUUUAAUUACAUGGAUGAUCCCUGACGUUUACAUCCGUUUGCAACGUUAGUCCUUCCGUCCAAUUCUAUCCAAAACUUAACGGUUUCUGAAAAAAAAUAAUUAAAAAAAUCCAGAAAUUUAUAGACUUCUUCAUCAUCUUUAACCAUCUUUUUCAUUAUAUUCAACAAAACUCAGGCAAAACACAAAAACCAGAGCCUCUUCUUCUUCCUUCAAUGAUAAAAUAAAAAUCAGAGUCACUUCUUCUUCUUCCACCCAAACCCAGACCGCAACUCCGACACUUCAGAUCGCACACCUGACUCCUACCCCCAAACCCAGAUCAAAGCGAGAGAAGACACCAACACCUUCAACGCUUCAGAUCGUAGGCAAUGAAGAAAGAUUCCUCCUAUCCUUGAUCUGGUCUCGGAUUCGAAAAGAGGACGUGGAGAGCUUCCAGAAAGUACUCUCAUUUUUUCAGUUUGGAGCACGGCAGAGAUAUCGCCGGAAAUCGCCACCUGUGGCGGCGCGCGACGAAGGACGGCGGCGUUUGCGGUGAAGCAUAAAUUUAUUGAGGGGGUUCUCUGCGGAUGAGACGAGGAAUCAAAUGGCGGUGGUAGUUUCCUCAUGGAACUCGUGGUUUCAUCAGAAAUGGAGGGAAAAGGCCAUGGUGUUCCUUUCAUGGCUUCCUUAAGUUCUUCCAUGGAGGAGAGAGGAAUCGGUGAUGGUGAUGGUGAUGACUGUGGUUGAGCGAGAGUUGGAGGUAGCGGUGGUUUCUGCUGUGGGGAGAGAGGGUUGGAGGUGGCGGUGGCGGUGCUUGAUUCAUGGCUGGAUUUUGAGGUUGGGAAAUAAGGAUGGGAUUUGAGGUUUAAUUUAAAUGUGUUGUUGUUGUAGAGAGUUUGGAGGGACAGAUUGUGUUGUGAGUUAUGAGGAAUUAGCAAGGAUGGGAAUUGGGAAAAAAGUUAUAGCAAAAGAAGCCAAAAAACAUAAACGCUAUGAGUAAUUGAAUGAAAGCUUGCAACAAUACAUGAGAGGGGGAGAUGAAGAUGAUAGAUUUCUGGAUUUUUUUUCUAGAAACCGUUAGAUUUUAACGGAAAUUGAUAGAAGGACUAACGUUGCCAACGAGUGUGAACGUUAGGGGUCAUCCAUGUAAUUAAAUUAGGUGAGAGAUCAAAAUUACUUUUCUGGCAAACGUCAAGGAUCAAAGUUGCAAUUAAGCCUAUAUCAUUUGACUAUACCUCAUCAAUAUAAUUUUACUUUAAAAAAGAUCAUUAUCCUGAUUUACAAAGUGCAUAACAAAAUUACUCACAAGUGAAUUUACAACAACAUUACAUUUAUAUAAUGUUCUGCUCAUAUUGCUUAAAAUACACAAUUUGUCCAAGGGAAUGGAUCCUCCCAUAUCGAAUUUUUCUCAUGUUAAGAAUUUUAUAUUUAUCUCUUUUGGAUAUCAAGUAGGUUGGAACAUUAAGGUAUACGUUGACAACAUAUUGUAAAGACUUCCACCAAAGAGACCAAACUACUAAUUUGGAAGAGGUUAUCCAUUCUACAAAAACCAUAAAAAUUCAAGUUAAUUUUGUUUGGGUUAUCCAUUUGUAACAUAAUGUAAUAUACUAAUGUUUGAAUUUUAAUUUAAGAUUUUUUUAUUUUUAAAUUAAUUCUAAAGGUUAAUGUCACUUUUAAUUCAUUUGAAACUUUUACAAUUAUAACUUAACGUAAUUUAUUAUUCUCUUUAUUUAAAAUACAAUAACAAAAUUAGUUUAACAAAUAAUAAAAUUAAAUAAUAAAGCCGCUUGAUAAUUAAGAGGAUAAAGUGAGAAAGUCAUUUGUUCGGAGGAAUCGUCACAGACUCACUCAAAUUUACCAAACGCGUUACACUCGUUAAAAGACAAAAAUAAAAUUGGCAAAAGAAAUCAAUUGUAUUUAAUGUCGUAUGCAAUUUUAUUAUUUUUAAGAAUGGAUUCUAUUGGGUUCAAAAAAAAUGGAUUAUGUUGUACUUACGCAGUUUUAGUCAAGGAGUCUGUCUACAAUUAUGCCCAUUUAUUCCAUAAUUUGGCAUUUAGGUUAUGAAUACUGGCCCCUCUAUAAGUAGUACUAGUUCAGUUCUCGUUUUGGAUCAGACCACUUUGUCAAAUGCAGUUUUGCUUUCUCAGCCUGCAAUGUUCACCACCACAAAAUAUCAAAUUAAGAUUAGAUUAUACAAAGUCAGAGCCAAUAACACAAGAAAAAUAAAACUGGUAGCUAGUUACCUCUCUAUCCCAAUUGCACCGAAUGGUAAUCACACCUAAUAUCAAUGUCUGAAGUGCUGUCCCGCCAAAAAUCAUCCCUGCCCAGAUUCCCUAAUUAAUUGUUCAAUUUCACUAGUUGUUAGUGUCAUGAGAAUUAUACUUCAUGCAUAUGAAUUUCAUAUGGAAGUAAAAUAAAUGAACAAAUAUUUAGAAACAGAGAAAACUCACCAUAACUCCUUGAUUGAAGACCCAGCCCAUUAUAAGUCCAAGAGGCACACCAACAAGAUAGUAGCAACCCAAAUUUAUGUAUGCAACAUAUGAUUGCCACCCUGAUCCCACAGCCACUCCUGUUCAAAAUAUCCAAUGAGGACCAGAUAAUUAAUAUACAGCAUGUAAUUGAUUUCAGUUAAAAAAUUUUGAAAGCUGAAAUGCUAAGUAAGGGUAAGGUGUUAAUCACCUGAGAGAACUGGCUGAAUACUGUUAAGUAGUAUUGUGAAGGCUAACAGAAGAGAAAGAUUGUUUACUUCAUCAAGGACGGGUUUGCUUGUAGAGAAUAUGUAGCCGAUUUUAUCGUGAAAUAUCAAAAUCAACAUCCAAAAGAAGAGUCCUAUUAUUGAAGAAGUGACCACAGAUACUUUAGUAGCAAACUUGGCUCCUUUACCAUUCCCAGCUCCCAGCUCGUUUGCAACCCUCACUCUACAGAUUGCAAAGUAACUUCACAUGUAACUAAAACUAUUUGUAUUUUAAUAAAUUUUAAGCUGCGAUGAGCUGAGUGAAUAUUUAAUUUCACAAGUUGCAUAGAAUCCAACACACAUCAAAAGCUAAGAAUCGCAAAUUGUAAACAGAGGUGUGAAUGUGUGAUUCAAAAGUAUUUAACUAAACGUGUUAUGCAGUAGGGAACAUCUCUAAUACUGUCCAAUUAUCGUUUUAUGUUGAAGAGAAUCUUUCAAUAAAUAAUUAAUUAAUGAUCAUCUGAUGUAACUAGGGGAAAAAUACUCCUUUUCUUCUUUUAGGUUUUGGCUAUGGAAAUAAUGAAAACCAAUAGAUUUGUUUAUUUUAUUCUAAUUUUUCAAGUCUUUCUUUAUUUUUAUCUCCUCCAUACACCAAAAACUAGAAGUGAGUGAGAAAGUGCUAUGAGAAUUUUUUACUGAAUUUUCAUUGGCAUAAGACUAAAACAUAGACGUAGCUAACAAGUAACAAGUAGGCAAUUUGCUGACCAAACAUAUGCGCCACCAACCAAUGUUUUCUGUGGCUGCUGUAAUGUUUUUCUUCUUUAUUAAUUAUUGACAGAGAUUUCAUGGUGAUGCUGUUUAUGCAGAUGUCAGGACAGACGUAUGUUAAUUUAAUUUGUACUUUCUAUUUUGACCGAUUCCUAAUGUCCAAAUGUUCCAAUCACCACUGCAAUGUAAUCUUGUGGAAAUAUUUUCGUCAGAGAAUUAUUGGUUCGUUACUAAUCAUCAAAAUUUCUCACUUUAUUUUAAUUUAGGACACCCACAACAUUUUCCUAUCUAAUCUCAGCCUUGUGUUUUGAUGGGCCUUGUUGACCUGACCCUUGCCACCCAAUUAGUUAUUGACUAUGGCCCUCCAUUUUUGACUUGAUGCAGAAAACUCGAAAAGAGUAAGCAAAAUACUAAAAGGCAAGGCGAGUACUGAAAAUAACAAAUAAAGAAAGAAAAUUGGUAUAGCAGGGAAUAUAGCAGACUAAAAACAAGAUAUCUUACCCUGUUGCAGCAAAAAAUGACAGAGGAAUCAUCAUUUCCAAGCCAUUUAUUGACAUGCUGCCAAUAAAAAACACAGCAUCGAUUAUCAGCUAGCCAUAAAAAUUAUACCAACAAUUAUGAAGUCCUGCAGUUCUCUACUGUUUAAAUUUCUCUCCAGGGUGUAUCUAGUGAGAAUACACAUCAUUUUUCAUUUAAGAAUUAAAAUACAAUUUUUACUCUCUUUUCUAGCAGGUUCAUACACUACGUACAGUGCACUAAACAGAACAAUUCAUACCAUAUGGACAGAGCAUCCACUGCAAUUUCAGCAUUCUGAAGAUUUCCAGUCAUCAAUAUCAGAACUUUAUAAUACCAAUUCUCCACACUGAGAUUGAAAGAAAAGAAAAAAAGCCGUCAAGAAUGUUGAGAAAACCAGAACAUACAUAAACAUAGCAUAAUUUUGAAAGAAAGUACCAGAGCAUGACUCCAGAAGCAGCUGAAAGUUUAACAAACUCCCAAAGACCAGAAAAAGCUUGCAUGGACAAACCAGACCAAGUGUCAGGGCAACCGCCACAAACAGUAUAACCCAAAAGGCCCAACGUGAGGAUCCACCAAGAGAAGUUAUUGGUAGCAGCAAUACCAAUCACACCAAACUGGAGCUUGAAAACGAAUAACCAACAGAUAAACACGUGCACCAAAAGCGCCACUAGUUUUAAGCUGGCUCUGCAAGAAUCUUUGGAGAGGUAACUGAAACGCUAAGGAGAAGUGCAUUGGUAUCAUCCACAUCGACGCCACACCGGAAAGCUCUGCCAGAUCAUCAGGCUGCCCCAACAACUUCAAAACCGGCGAGGCAAACAGGUAGAUAGGCAAAAGGAAGAUGCAACAAAUGAAAAGAACGAUCCAAGAACGUUGCAUGUACACGCCUAACAUGUAGUACUUCUUUGCCCCAUAAGCUUGCCCACAUAGUGUUUCCAACGCACUUGCCAUGCCCAACUAUAAAUGAAAUAGAUUAAAAGCCAUAGUUAAGAAAAAUAAAUUAACUAUUAGAACUACAUAGUAGAAUUAAAAGUAUUUAAUCUGUACCAAGAGGCCAAAGUCGAAGCCGACUACAACAUUAUUGGCGAUGGAGAUAGCUGCGAAUUCAAGGUCACCUAGGUGGCCUGCAAAGGCUUGGGUGAUGACUAACAUGGAAUAGGUUGCUAUACGGCUAAAUAUUGUAGGGCCUGCUAUGUGCCAUAGCUUCUUGGAUUCAACCCAAAUCUUUCUUUUUAGGUCUUGUUCUUGUUCUGCUGCAUCUGUUAAAGGAUGAACUUCCAACAAUGGAGCUUUUAUUUCUCCUAACGGUGAAAUCUCCUUGCUAGACAUCUUUUUGUAGUAUGCCGGUUGUGGCUAGAGUUUAUUUGGAUUGAAAA